AUCACCUGAGGUUGGGAGUUCGAGAUCAGCCUGGCCAAUAUGGUGAAACCCCAUCUCUACUAAAAAUACAAAAAUUAGCUGGGUGUAGUGGCAGAUGCCUGUAAUCCCAGCUAGUUGGGAGGCUGAGGCAGGAGAAUCACUUGAACCAGGGAGGCAGAGGUUGCAGUGAGCCAAGAUCGUGCCACUGCACUCCACCUUGGGUGACAGAGAGAGACUCCAUCUCAAAAAAAAAAAAAGAAAAAAUGUUGUUUAAUGUUUAUACACUGCUGGUGGGAAUGUAAAUUAGUUCAGCCACUGUGGAAAGCAGUUUAGCGAUUUCUCAAAGAACUUAAAACAGAACUACCAUUCUACCUAGCAACCCCAUUAGUGGGUAUAUACCCAAAGGAAUAUAAGUCAUUCUGCCAUAAAGACACAUGCACACAUAUGUUCAUUGCAGCACUAUUCACAAUAGCAAAGACAUGGAAUCAACCUAAAUAUCAAUCAACAGUAGACUGGAUAAAGAAUAUAUUGUACAUAUACACCAUGAAAUACUAUGCAGCCAUAAAAAUGAAUGAGAUCAUGUCUUUUGCAGCAACAAAAGGUGGAGCUGGAGGCCAUUAUCCUGAGUGAACUAACACAGGAACAGAAAACCAAAUACUAUAUAUUCUUACUUAUAAGAGGGAGCUAGACAUUGAGUACACAUGAACACAAUGAAAGGAACAAUAGACACUGGGGACUGUUUGAGGGUAGAGGAUAAGAGGAGGGUGAGUGUCAAAAAACUACCUAUGGAGUACUAUGCUUAUUACCUGGGUGACAAAAUAAUCUGUAAACCAAAUCUUCAUGACAUGCAACUUACCUAUAUAACAAACCCGUACAUGUACCCCUGAACCUAAAAUAAAAGUUUUUUAAAUUUUCAAAUUAAUG
This 903-nucleotide long non-coding RNA is filed under the name Homo sapiens (human). RNAcentral describes it as "HSALNT0161533". The record is from RNAcentral. Lineage: Eukaryota; Metazoa; Chordata; Mammalia; Primates; Hominidae.